AUUGAACGCUGGCGGCAGGCCUAACACAUGCAAGUCGAGCGAGCGGCGGACGGGUGAGUAAUGUAUGGGGACUGCCCGAUAGAGGGGGAUAACUACUGGAAACGGUGGCUAAUACCCCAUACUGUCGGAUAACCCAUAUGGGAUUAGCUAGUAGGUAAGGUAAUGGCUUACCUAGGCGACGAUCCCUAGCUGGUCUGAGAGGAUGAUGAGCCACACUGGGACGAAGACACGGCCCAGACUCCUACGGGGGAAGCAGUGGGGAAUAUUGCACAAUGGGCGCAAGCCUGAUGCAGCCAUGCCGCGUGUAUGAAGAAGGCCCUAGGGUUGUAAAGUACUUUCAGUCGGGAGGCGUUACCGACAGAAGAAGCACCGGCUAACUCCGUGCCAGCCGCCGCGGUAUAC
Molecule: ribosomal RNA, 402 nt
Filed under: uncultured bacterium
Lineage: Bacteria
Description: partial 16S ribosomal RNA
Rfam family: Bacterial small subunit ribosomal RNA
Source: RNAcentral